ACAACAUUUGGAACGUCGGUCUACCGAGCAAUAUCAUCCGUGCGGUGAAAGAUCUUCCCUUUGUCGU
This 67-nucleotide microRNA precursor is filed under the name Bombyx mori (domestic silkworm). RNAcentral's name for it is "mir-2774 microRNA precursor family". It matches the Rfam family "mir-2774 microRNA precursor family". The record is from Rfam by way of RNAcentral. Lineage: Eukaryota; Metazoa; Arthropoda; Insecta; Lepidoptera; Bombycidae.